Molecule: ribosomal RNA, 393 nt
Filed under: uncultured bacterium
Lineage: Bacteria
Description: partial 16S ribosomal RNA
Rfam family: Bacterial small subunit ribosomal RNA
Source: RNAcentral
AUACGGAGGAUGCGAGCGUUAUCCGGAUUUAUUGGGUUUAAAGGGUGCGUAGGCUGUGCGUUAAGUCAGGGGUGAAAUGCCGUCGCUCAACGACGGAGCUGCCCUUGAUACUGGCGUGCUGGAGUACGGAUGCCGUUGGAGGAAUGAGUGGUGUAGCGGUGAAAUGCUUAGAUAUCACUCAGAACACCGAUUGCGAAGGCAUCUGACGAAUCCGUCACUGACGCUGAGGCACGAAAGCGUGGGGAUAGAACAGGAUUAGAUACCCUGGUAUUCCACGCCGUAAACGAUGAUGACUAACCGUCGGCGAUAGACAGCCGGUGGCCAAGCGAAAGCGAUAAGUCAUCCACCUGGGGAGUACGUCGGCAACGAUGAUACUUAAAGGAAUUGACGGGU